RNAcentral lists this non-coding RNA (86 nucleotides) under Deltaproteobacteria bacterium. RNAcentral describes it as "ZTP sequence". It matches the Rfam family "ZMP/ZTP riboswitch aptamer (pfl RNA motif)". From Rfam's summary of the family: Previously known as pfl RNA. Lineage: Bacteria; Pseudomonadati; Myxococcota; Myxococcia. The record is from RNAcentral.
UCCUGUCUUCGCAACUGACGGAAUCAAGGUGGGCACCACCGGGGAGCGAAGAAUAUAGAUGUAUGUCGACCGUCUGGGCAAGAUUG